UACGGGGGGAGCAAGCGUUGUUCGGAUUUACUGGGCGUAAAGGGCGCGUAGGCGGUCAGCACAAGUCAGUUGUGAAAUCUCCGGGCUUAACCCGGAAAGGUCAACUGAUACUGUGCGACUAGAGUGCGGAAGGGGCAACUGGAAUUCUCGGUGUAGCGGUGAAAUGCGUAGAUAUCGAGAGGAACACCUGCGGCGAAGGCGGGUUGCUGGGCCGACACUGACGCUGAGGCACGAAAGCGUGGGGAGCAAACAGG
Molecule: ribosomal RNA, 254 nt
Filed under: uncultured bacterium
Lineage: Bacteria
Description: partial 16S ribosomal RNA
Rfam family: Bacterial small subunit ribosomal RNA
Source: RNAcentral